This 468-nucleotide ribosomal RNA is filed under the name uncultured bacterium. RNAcentral's name for it is "partial 16S ribosomal RNA". It matches the Rfam family "Bacterial small subunit ribosomal RNA", at positions 28 to 507 of the family's 1533-position model. The record is from RNAcentral.
GACGAACGCUGGCGGCGUGCUUAACACAUGCAAGUCGAACGGAAAGGCCCUGCUUUUGUUUGGUUCUCGAUUGGCGAACGGGUGAGUAACACGUGAGUAACCUGCCCUUGACUUUGUGAUAACUUCAGGAAACUGGGGCUAAUACCGGAUAGGAGCUCCUGCUGCAUGGUGGGGGUUGGAAAGUUUCGGCGGUUGGGGAUGGACUCGCGGCUUAUCAGCUUGUUGGUGGGGUAGUUGCUUACCAAGGCUUUGACGGGUAGCCGGCCUGAGAGGGUGACCGGCCACAAUGGGACUGAGAGACGGCGCAGAAGCGUACGGGAGGCAGCAGGGGGGAAUAUUGCACAAUGGGCGGAAGCCUGAUGCAGAGACGCCGGGUGCGGGAUGACGGCUUUCGGGGUGUAAACAGAUUUCGCCUGUGACGAAGAGUGAGUGACGGUAAUGGGUAAAGAAGCACCGGCUAACUACGUG